This is a small nuclear RNA of Rattus norvegicus (Norway rat), 132 nucleotides long. Ensembl annotates it as U1 spliceosomal RNA. The record is from Ensembl. Lineage: Eukaryota; Metazoa; Chordata; Mammalia; Rodentia; Muridae.
AUAUUUACUUGGCAGGGGUGAUACCAUGGUCAUAAAGGUUGUUUUCUUUGGCCCUCUGGAUUUGCCUUAUGUGAUUUCCCCAAAGUCACUGCAUGAUUUGUGCUAGUGGGGGACUUCAUUCAUAUUUCCUUG